This is a long non-coding RNA of Symphalangus syndactylus (siamang), 424 nucleotides long. RefSeq lists it as uncharacterized. The record is from RefSeq and is a predicted model, not a curated record. NCBI's taxonomy places the organism in Eukaryota, Metazoa, Chordata, Mammalia, Primates, Hylobatidae.
AUUUCAAUGAAAGGGUCUGAGACCACAGCCAUAAGCUGCGAAAGCCAAGAGGACAGCUAAGGACUAAGGAAUUGACACUACGCCCGAAUCUGGCAGAAGAGUCAAGCCCCAAAUCGUGACAUGCACACAGAAAAAUGUGUGUGGGCCACUGGCUUAGGAAGACUGCGUUUUCCGGGGAAAUGACCCGUGGGUGAGCGCUGUGGCACAGACUUAAAAGACCUCCAUCAUUUCUGAUAAGAAAUUCACUGUCCUUCAGAUUAUUUGCUCUCACAGGACAAGAACUCGGACCUGGCUGAGCUAGAGACUAAGCACACUGCAACAUUUGGGAGCUCAUCUGGGAUUGUCAGAAGGGAACUGGAGACCAAGAUCCCACACUGAAGACACCAAGUUGCUACCACUUCAAGACUGCUACUGUACCAAGGAG